AGAAUUAGCUCUGGUCCCACUAAAAGCAGGAGGAAUAAUUAAUUUUGUCUUUGAUUUUGUAUACAGAUUUUGUGUUUUCUCUCUGUUGCUGUCACCGUGUGAUGAAGCAGUAGCUCCCAACCUUUUCUGUGCUGCUCUCAGCUUUGUUUGUAGCUGGUAAACAAGAAACAGUAAUAUGCUUCCCUGUGGUAAUUGGAUUAAGGACAAGGCCUCCCUCUUUGUUUAAUAUUUCUGAGAAAAGCUGCCAAGGAUUAAAGCAAGAGCUUCCCGUGGUGAAAUCCUGCCCAGUCCCACGCUGGCUUUGCACACACACAAGGCUCAAUCUCUGCUGGAAUCCCAGUCACAGCCCCCAGAUCAAUGUGCAGUUUAAGGUCUCACAGCCUGACCAGGACAAUCUCUUUCCUCUGAACAUGGAAAAUCAGUUUUUCAUUGUUACAGCACCAGCUCAAGAAUCUUCUGAGGCUGAAACAAAGACAAGGAACCUUCUGAGAUGGAAAGAGCCAGAGCAAGUUGUUGUGGGAAAGGAAAAUUAAAGAUGGAUGUGGGCCAUGACAUGAAUUGGCUCCAACAGGGCCCAAGAUCCCUGUGGGGUCUGUGGCAGGGACAACUCCCAGAGCUGGACAGGGAAGGGAACCUUCACCCACACUCCCAAAAGCUGAGAAAGAAAAACACCUGCCUGCAGCUGGCUGCAGCUCCUGGAGCUCUGGGGAUUCUGGCACACUCAGGGACAUGGGAUGAUGCCACAAUCAUUCAAACCUUGGGAAUAAUGGAAUUAAUACCACCCCUUGAGCCUGUUCUAGGCAGGCUCCUGCCCAUCAGCCACUGGCUGCAGAUGGCUGGAGUGGAAGUGGAAUUGAUGGAGGCAUCCAGGAAAUGCUGAUUGUUUUUUUCUCACUUUGGCAAUCUGGUCAGGAAAAAUACGAAUUGACCUCUUCCAGCAGCGAAACAUUUAAGCAAGAGGUGCUGAAAAGAAUUGGAGUUUCUGAUUUUAAGUCUCCAACUUGAAAUUGUCUUUGGAUUGCCACUGGUCCAAGUUUCAUGGACUGGUCACUGUGGCCAGGAGUGUCCAAUCCUGCUGGGAAUGCACUGGACCAGGAUGUCAUUUUCACUUUAUACAGGUAAAGACCCUCUGGGUGACCCCUAGUGACUGGAAGGACCAGACUGGGCUCCCAUGGCACUAAUUCCAGGUGUUCUGUUUUUGGGAAUAGCACAGGAGCCUUUCCCUUACCCAGAGGAGCAGCCAGUGCCUUCCUUAGUCCAUAAAUCCCCAGGAUGGACCACAGAGAAAAUAACAGGAAUGUGGAAAUCCCCCACACAGGGAGUUUGUGGUGCUCUGGAUUACAUUUUGGAUUUAAAAUGUUAAAGAUGGGGUGUGGAAUGGCUUCUUUUUAUUGUCAUUGUUGUCACUGCUCUUGUUGCUAUCACUGUUAUCCACAGUUAUCACUGCUAUCACUGUCAGCAAUAUUAAAAUAUUGUAUUUGUCUUGGUUUCUGUUAUUAAACUGUUCUGAUCUCACCCCCUGAGCUGGAUUUUUGUCUCUGGUCUCUUCCCCAUCCCACGGGGGCGGGGGGUGAGGGAGCUGCUGGUGGUGCCCAGCUGUGUCUGCCCAUGGCCCGGGGCACUCCUGGAGCCUCUGAAGAUGAUGGACUGGAGCAGUUUUGGGGCUCAGAGGGACACCCAGUGCUGUAUUUGGGCUCAAAACUGGGCUCAUUUGACCAAGUACAGAAAUAGACAUGGGGGGUUUGAAACCAGGGUGCCUCAGACAGCAU
Molecule: long non-coding RNA, 1769 nt
Organism: Lonchura striata (white-rumped munia)
Lineage: Eukaryota; Metazoa; Chordata; Aves; Passeriformes; Estrildidae
Source: Ensembl